Molecule: transfer RNA, 56 nt
Filed under: Ovis aries (sheep)
Lineage: Eukaryota; Metazoa; Chordata; Mammalia; Artiodactyla; Bovidae
Source: Rfam by way of RNAcentral
UGGCUCAGACGAUAAAGUGCCCACCUGCAAUGUGGGAGACCAGGGUUCGAUCCCUG